This 218-nucleotide long non-coding RNA is filed under the name Ictidomys tridecemlineatus (thirteen-lined ground squirrel). Its description in RNAcentral is "lncRNA (ENSSTOG00000032678.1)". Lineage: Eukaryota; Metazoa; Chordata; Mammalia; Rodentia; Sciuridae. The record is from RNAcentral.
AACUAUUGGAUACGUCCUGGCUUCCAAUCUUACCUUGUUACUGGGAUGACGGAAAGCUUCACAAAUUUUGUUUCUGUUGAAAAUGAGUAAAUAAUUGGGGAGGAGAACUUGGCCGACGUGAGAGGCAGCAGCCGUCUGAGAGGCCAACUUGGGCCACAGAACUAGGACUUCAGAUUGUGCACAGAUGUGCUGAAGUAUGGGAAACUCCACUUCGUGAG